UUCAUCCUACGGGGGGCAGCAGUAGGGAAUCUUCCACAAUGGGCGAAAGCCUGAUGGAGCAACGCCGCGUGGGUGAAGAAGGUCUUCGGAUCGUAAAACCCUGUUGUUAGAGAAGAAGGUGCGUGAGAGUAACUGUUCACGUUUCGACGGUAUCUAACCAGAAAGCCACGGCUAACUACGUGCCAGCAGCCGCGGUAAUACGUAGGUGGCAAGCGUUAUCCGGAUUUAUUGGGCGUAAAGGGAACGCAGCCGGUCUUUUAAGUCUGAUGUGAAAGCUUUCGGCUUACCC
RNAcentral lists this ribosomal RNA (289 nucleotides) under uncultured bacterium. RNAcentral's name for it is "partial 16S ribosomal RNA". It matches the Rfam family "Bacterial small subunit ribosomal RNA", at positions 333 to 614 of the family's 1533-position model. The record is from RNAcentral.